GUGGAGCUGAGGGUGGAAGGGGAGUGAGCUGACGCUCGGAAGGUGUCUUGAGAUUAUCAUCCGCUGAGGGUGGAAGGGGAGUGAGCAGACACUCAGGAGGUGUCUUGAGAUUAUCAUCCGCUGAGGGUGGAAGGGGAGUGAGCACACACUCGGGAGGUGUCUUGAGGCUCAGGGAGUUAUCAGUUAUAGAAUGUUGUUGAGUUGGAGGAGGUGGCUGGUGGCCCAUCCUGUUUUUUAAAGUUUCAGCUGUGAGGUA
This 256-nucleotide long non-coding RNA is filed under the name Homo sapiens (human). RNAcentral describes it as "HSALNT0228805". The record is from RNAcentral. Lineage: Eukaryota; Metazoa; Chordata; Mammalia; Primates; Hominidae.